Non-coding RNA from Pseudonaja textilis, 190 nucleotides. Lineage: Eukaryota; Metazoa; Chordata; Lepidosauria; Squamata; Elapidae. The record is from RefSeq and is a predicted model, not a curated record.
ACUCCCCACCAUUCAUUGCACAGAGCAAAAAUGCUUCUGUGGCUAAACUUGGUGUCCUUACUGGCAUUUCUCCAUGGUGCCAAGUCUCAAGUCCAGUUGGUGGAGUCAGGAGGGGAUGUGAGAAGACCUGGAGAGUCCCUCCAUCUCCCCUGCCAAGCCUCUGGUUUCACCUUCCGCAACCAUGAGAUGA